GGAAGUAAAAAGUCGUAACAAGGUUUCCGUAGGUGAACCUGCGGAAGGAUCAUUAUUGAAACUUCAUCCGGGGCGCCGCGGCCCUCAGCACCGGUGGAAACGCCGUGUUGCGGGGGCCGCGCGUGCACUCGUCCAAACCAAACCCCUGUGAACCUUACGGGAUGGCCUGGGUUAGCGCCCGGUGCCGUUCCGCUUUAUACAAACACUUAUCAAAGAAUGAACUGAAGGCGGUCUGACCGCUGGAUAACAAAACUGAAACAACUUUCAACAACGGAUCUCUUGGCUCUC
This 288-nucleotide unclassified non-coding RNA is filed under the name plant metagenome. Its description in RNAcentral is "partial contains small subunit ribosomal RNA, internal transcribed spacer 1, and 5.8S ribosomal RNA". The stretch from base 1 to 55 matches the Rfam family "Eukaryotic small subunit ribosomal RNA", at positions 1778 to 1831 of the family's 1831-position model. The record is from RNAcentral.